Molecule: long non-coding RNA, 2218 nt
Organism: Triticum aestivum (bread wheat)
Lineage: Eukaryota; Viridiplantae; Streptophyta; Magnoliopsida; Poales; Poaceae
Exons: 2
Source: RefSeq, a predicted model, not a curated record
GCGAGAAAACGCACGUACUCCCUUCGAUGCGUGCUCUCUAGAUUCGUACGGGCAUGGCGCCGCUGGUGGCGGCCGGUCCUCUUCUCCUGCCAUCCGCUGCCCUGUUCUCCUUCCCCUCCUCAUCUGCCCGCAGCCCACACAUCCGCCCCCGCUCCAGCUGCAGGUCUUCCUCCAGACGGCGACGGCGGUGCCAAAGGGCCCAACAUCCCAACUGUUGGAAGGCAAAUCCCUAGACCCAAAUCCCCUCCCGCUGCAGCCGGAGACGACUCCAAGCCCCUCCCAGUCGUAAGCCGGAGGACGAGGCCCUGGAUUCCGUCGCCGAGGAGGAGCCGGCGGUUGAGGUGGAGGAGGAGGUCGCGGUGGUGUGGAGGAGGUCCGGGAGUACUUGGAGCCGUCGGAGGAGGCCAAGGUGUACAUGUGCAGCCUUACCUACGACGUCAGCAGCUAGCACCUGACGCAGCUCUUCGAUCAGGCCGGCGUCGAGGUUUCCUAGAUGGCUGCUAUGCUACUUUUUUCGAUGAUCAAUCAUCGUGAGUUUCAAAGAAACUUCCAAUGUUAUCUCCGCCGAGUUCGCCAGUGGAAGAAGAACAUCCGUUGAGCCAUCCAAUGUCGCCUGCUGCGGCUAUACCAGAGGUAUGUAUCCCCUUGAAAGCUAAUCAGUUGAUAGAAGCCCCUGUUUCAGUUUAUUGUUUCUGAAUUGGUGCCACUUCUGAUGGCUCUUGUUUCAGUUUAUUGUUUCUGAAUUGGACAGUAGAUAGAAGCCCCUGAACCGACCCAUCUAUCUUAUGUCACAUCCAACAGAUAUAAUCAUAUGUUUUUGUGUUGUGCACCAAGAUGGCGCAGCAUCAGAUGUUUCCUGUGACAAUUUCUACUUUGUUUUAUGGAACAAUUCAUACAAGGGUGCACAAUAUGGCAAACAUAUAUAUGCACUUCUUGUAAUUCUAAAAUAAUAUGUUGCCCAAAAUGAACAAUUCGGCAGUUGCAAAUUUUACAGGAGCGAUUUCCACUGAAGGAAGUGAUGUUCACAAUUGUCGUUUUAUGUUUUGAUCUAUUUUCCCUUUUAUUUUUUUACAAGAGCGAACUUCUACAUGAUGCAAGCUAACUCCCAGAGCUUAUACACGCUAACUGCUACUGACUCCCAAAGUGGACACUUUUUAUUGUAUAACUGCUGGACAUUUAAUGGCUAACUGAACAGAAUCGAUAAUGUGUAAAUUACUGAAACAAAAAGUGGACCGAGCACAUAGCGGUGAACUUAUGUGGUUUUUCAGUCAGCUAGCUUCUACAGCCAUCCAGGAGUAACACUAACUGCUGGAACCAGGGUAGAAAGAUAAUGAAUGAAUUCUGAUAUACAGAAUGAUCUUGUUAAAGGAUACGACUUUUGUUCAAUUUUUCCCUCGGAUGUUGAUUUUACUUGGUGAUAGUUAAUCCCAAUGCAACCUGUUUGUAUUCAUGUCUGUAGGAGCUGAUUGGUCUUCUUAUUUGACUUGUAGAUGAGCACCAAGCUGUUUUUCUUUUGAUGUACUUUACACACCUAUUUGCUCUGGAGAUGCUCCUUUUGUGCAUUCAUUUCAGACAGUAUUUUAUAACUUCUGUCCAUUGAGAAAUUCGGAUCUGUUAGUUGAUUUAUCUAUGUGCUUUGUGUUAAGUGAAGAUAACCUUAUGUGAAGAUAAUUCAGACAGUGUUACUGUAACUUUUGUCCAUUCAGAAAGUGCUGAAGGCCGGGUUGUGUCGAUCCGGUAAGUGUUGGCGGACGAUAUAGUUUCCGAUUGCUCUUGUUUUAUUUUAUUGUUUCUGAAUUGGCCAGUAGAUAGAAGCUCGCUUAAUUAUGGUGAUUAAUCCAACGUUGUUGGAUAUUGUUUCAAUCAAAAUCAAUCUGUGUAACCUCAUAAUUCAUUGGAUGUAGGCCACUGGCAGCUGCCGCUUUUCUGAUAAUAGUAAACUCCAGGAGUUCUCCAUUUGUACAAACUUUCAGAGAUUCAUACAGUUCAGACAAGUAAUACUAAAUUGCUGUAAAUUUUUUAUUUGUGACAGGGACCUCCUGCACAUCGUCUCUGUCACUCUGUGUCAGCCGUGUGCUCCUGGUACUGGCAGUGUGUCCAAUCACAGCCAAUUUUAUUGGCAUACAUACUUGAACUCUGAACUCUUUUCAGAUGGUGUUGUAAAAACAUUGGCUCAUAGAUUUUGUUAGUAAUUAUUAUUCAGAACAUUUCCUUUUAA